GCUCGAAUGGUGGAAUAGGUAGACACGCCGGACUUAAAAUCCUGUGGCCAGUAAUGGCCGUGCCGGUUCGACCCCGGCUUCGAGUACCA
This 89-nucleotide transfer RNA is filed under the name Alistipes sp. Its description in RNAcentral is "tRNA-Leu". It matches the Rfam family "tRNA". Rfam says of the family: Transfer RNA (tRNA) molecules are approximately 80 nucleotides in length. RNAcentral also lists the same sequence under 1 other name. Lineage: Bacteria; Pseudomonadati; Bacteroidota; Bacteroidia; Bacteroidales; Rikenellaceae. The record is from RNAcentral.